RNAcentral lists this ribosomal RNA (365 nucleotides) under uncultured bacterium. Its description in RNAcentral is "bacterial SSU rRNA". It matches the Rfam family "Bacterial small subunit ribosomal RNA", at positions 331 to 693 of the family's 1533-position model. The record is from RNAcentral.
CCAGACUCCUACGGGAGGCAGCAGUGAGGAAUAUUGGUCAAUGGGCGGAAGCCUGAACCAGCCAAGUCGCGUGAGGGAAGAAGGCCCUGCGGGUCGCAGACCUCUUUGGACGGGGAGCAAGGCCGCCGACGUGUCGGCGGAAGGAGAGUACCCGUAGAACAAGCAUCGGCUAACUCCGUGCCAGCAGCCGCGGUAAUACGGAGGAUGCGAGCGUUAUCCGGAUUUAUUGGGUUUAAAGGGGGCGCAGGCGGGACGUCAAGCGGGGGGGUAAAUCGCGGGGCUCACCCCCGCCCAGCCGUCGGAACAGCCGGGCUAGAGGGGGCGAGAAGUGCGCGGAAUGCGUGGUGUAGCGGUGAAAUGCGUAG